Molecule: long non-coding RNA, 221 nt
Organism: Juglans microcarpa x Juglans regia
Lineage: Eukaryota; Viridiplantae; Streptophyta; Magnoliopsida; Fagales; Juglandaceae
Exons: 2
Source: RefSeq, a predicted model, not a curated record
GGGAGAUGAAAAUGCUAUAAUGCCUGAAGGAUUGCAUUUUCAACCUAAGGGGUAUGGCACGUCGAGCAGUGGCCUGAGGUAGGAUGAUAGGAAUUACACUUUCAACUAUGGAUUUGCCGUCUCCAGCAGCUUUAGGGAAAGUUUUACUACUGAAUUCAAUAAAAUUUGUGAUUAUAUAACUUCAAAAAGUUUGAACAUUGGGAUAGAGAAGAAAUUGAUUG